GGCCGGCCAUGUGGACAUUGAG
RNAcentral lists this non-coding RNA (22 nucleotides) under Arabidopsis thaliana (thale cress). Lineage: Eukaryota; Viridiplantae; Streptophyta; Magnoliopsida; Brassicales; Brassicaceae. The record is from RNAcentral.